AUUGAACGCUGGCGGCAUGCCUUACACAUGCAAGUCGAACGGCAGCACGGGAGCAAUCCUGGUGGCGAGUGGCGAACGGGUGAGUAAUAUAUCGGAACGUGCCCAGUAGUGGGGGAUAGCCCGGCGAAAGCCGGAUUAAUACCGCAUACGACCUGUGGGUGAAAGCGGGGGAUCGCAAGACCUCGCGCUAUUGGAGCGGCCGAUAUCAGAUUAGCUUGUUGGUGGGGUAAAAAGCCCACCAAGGCGACGAUCUGUAGCUGGUCUGAGAGGGCGACCAGCCACACUGGGACUGAGACACGGCCCAGACUCCUACGGGAGGCAGCAGUGGGGAAUUUUGGACAAUGGGCGCAAGCCUGAUCCAGCCAUGCCGCGUGUGGGAAGAA
This 383-nucleotide ribosomal RNA is filed under the name uncultured bacterium. RNAcentral's name for it is "bacterial SSU rRNA". It matches the Rfam family "Bacterial small subunit ribosomal RNA", at positions 29 to 412 of the family's 1533-position model. The record is from RNAcentral.